Sus scrofa (pig) is the source of this 1031-nucleotide long non-coding RNA. RefSeq lists it as uncharacterized. The record is from RefSeq and is a predicted model, not a curated record. Lineage: Eukaryota; Metazoa; Chordata; Mammalia; Artiodactyla; Suidae.
CUGCUUCCCCGGGGGCGCGAGCCGCGCGAGUAAAGGGGCGCCGCAGGCAGCAGCCGCCCGCCCGCGCCCCCCGCGCCCCGCGCCCCGCUCCCCGCGCCGCCCGGGGACGCCCUCGCCGUCUCUCUGUCGCGGGGCCUCUCCCUUUUCUCUCUCGCUUGGGUCCUGGUUGUGAAUUCACCCAGGGUCCAGGAUGACAAUCCGACACCAAGGCCAGCAGUACAGGCCGAGGAUGGCAUUUCUCCAGAAGGUAUGGAAACUGAGGCAAGUAAGGCCCAACCCUGGAAGAAGUGUUGACGUGAUGCCGUGAAGCUGGCCUCGCUCCAGUGAUAGAAACAAAGUACACGUGUAGUGGGAAGGAGCUUUGGAUGCUACUCCAGGAAUAGGGGAGGCACCCCCCGGGGAGAAAGCCUUGAACCUGAGACUGAAGGAUGCUGAGGCUUCUCUUGGGCCCAGAAGAAGCAGAAGAAGGACCAAGGCAGCAGGAGCAGCAUGUGCAGAUUUCACCUGGGAAAUUCCAGAGGUUUCAAGCCAACAUUGGGGGCCAACGGAUGCUUUAAUUUUAGAAAGAGACCAAAUGUGUAGAAUGAAAUCAGUCAUCAACAGGAAGGACCCGAGAGACUGUCUGUGAAGACCUCAGAUACAAACUGGGUGACCUGGUGCCACUUCAGGGAGGCCCAGCCGGAGAGAGGCUGUAAGCAGAAAAGCUUAAACCAAGUCAACUGCAUUGUACUCUUGCCUGUGAAAGUCCAUGUCAAGAGCAUCUCUGAAAGGGACGUUCAAAGAGACAAAAGGACUUAUCUUGCCUCUAGCACCCUGGGAGAAAAUGCUUUUUAUCCAGGAAAAUGAAUUUCUACCUCCCCCGACAGGUGCGUCUUAGAUACCAUCACACUUGGAUAGCAUUUUCCCUGUCCUGAUUCCACGCCAUGGGUCUCCAAUACCAUAUGCCCAUAGUGUACGAAUCUGGACUUCCAUGUCCAUCUUCCUUCAAGAAGGAGCACAUCGUUGGUGAAUAAAGUUACCCAGCUGACUGA